RNAcentral lists this long non-coding RNA (1263 nucleotides) under Nicotiana benthamiana. RNAcentral's name for it is "long non-coding RNA (NBEN_LNC020317)". Lineage: Eukaryota; Viridiplantae; Streptophyta; Magnoliopsida; Solanales; Solanaceae. The record is from RNAcentral.
CCGGGAAGUUAGACGACGCAUUGUGGGCAUAUCGCACAGCAUAUAAAACUCCCAUAGGUGCUUCUCCGAAUAAAUUGGUGUAUGGGAAGGCAUGUCACUUGCCCAUCGAACUUGAGCACAAGGCCUAUUGGGCAAUAAAGAAGUUGAACAUGGAUAAUGACUUAGCUGGAGAGAAAAGGUUGUUGCAACUUGAAGAGCUCAAGGAGUUUCAAUUACAUGCAUAUGAGAUUGCCAAUCUAUAUAAAGAGAAGACUAAGAGGUGGCAUGAUAAGCACAUUCUGCUGCAACUUGAUGAGCUCGAGGAGUUUCGAUUACAUGCAUAUGAGAAUACCAAACUAUAUAAAGAGAAGACUAAAAGGUGGCAUGAUAAGCACAUUCAGCACCGUGAGUUCGAACCAGGCCAGCAAGUCCUGUUGUUCAAUUCGAGGUUGAAGCUCUUCCCUGGAAAGCUUAAAUCUCGUUGGUUUGGCCCUUUCGUUGUGGUAAGCGUGAAGCCUCAUGGAGUCGUGGAACUGAGAGAUAUGAGCUCCACUAGCACCUUCCUAGUUAAUGGUCAACGAAUUAAACAUUAUUGGGGUGGAGACUUGGUGCGUCACAAGACCUCAGUGGAAUUGAACGAUGCUUGAAAACAUGUUGAGUCGUGCCGCGACGUUAAAUCAGGCGCUGGAUGGGAGACAACCUAUUAAAAUGUUGUAAAUGUCUAAAAAAAAAAGAGAGAGAAAAAGUAUACAGGAACGCCCAGGUGUCUCGGUUCACUGCUAUGGAACAGGAGAUGGCUGGUUUGCGGACCUCCGUGAACGAAUUAGGCACCCGUGUGGAUGUGUUAGCAGACCGGCAGAAUAAGUCAGAGAGGAAGAUCAUAGGAUGGUUAUGAGCCUUGGGGCGCGCAUACAACAUGAACCUCGCAACUGUCUCGGACCAUGAGUGACGCUUCAGGGAAGUUCCUUUACCUCACUAUUUUUCCUUCAAUUUCACGCCAUGAGGGCAUGGCUUUUUCUUUAAGUGUGGGGUGGGGAACUUCCUAAAUGUAUAUUGUAAGUAGUGUACAAAUGGUUGUUUUGCUUGCUUAUUAACUUGAUUUGCUUCUUUUUCUCUUUGUGUGAAGUAGUGUGUUGGGUAAUUUGUCAAUUAGUUUAGAUAGAUGGAUCGGCCCUAUGACGAAUCCCUUUCGAUGGGGUUCUUGAGGGAGAUGAGUCGAUGAAAAAAAAACUAAAAAAUGGAGGUUCUUCCCUAUGACGGAUCUUGUAGACGAGGUUCUUAAGG